CCGGCCGGAGGCUCCAGAGGCCUGCUGGGUGGCAUCGGCUGCCCCAGAGCAUUUGCCACGAUGCUCACAGGAGGGCCUUGUAUGGUCAGCAGCCCUCACAGAGCUGUCAGCCUGUGAUGGUUGGCAGGGGCCCCAGGAGGAGCAGCAAGGCCCAGUCAGUGGGACCCGGAGGAGUGUGUGGCGUCUGGUAGCAAGCUGUAACAUCCAGCUUGCUUAGUGAAGACCAGGCAGGUGGAUACAGGAAUCAGACAGCAAGACCUCAGAGCGAGGUGAAAGAGGCCGCUGCAGAGCGCAUGGGCCGUGGGGACGUCUGACAGUGAAGGCACCAGACAGGAGUCCUGAAGAGGAGGAGUCUGACCCUGGCAGACGCCAAUCCUGACCCAGCACAAGAGAAUGUGGAUGGCUCCAUUCAUGCCACUUCUCCUUCUGGCACAAUAACUCAUUCAUUGAGAAAAGUUCUGUUCUGUUACCGAGGAUCUUCCCAGCUGUCGAGGACACUGAGGUGGGCAAGACAGGCAAGGUCAGGUCCCACAUUAUGGAACUUACCUUCUAGGGGGACACGGACACACAGCUUGCUUUGGCUAUUGGUAGGCCACUCAACUGUAGGACAGCGAGAAAGAAGGGGAGAGAGAGACUGGUGACUUUGACGAGGCACUUGGAAAAUACUCCGGACAUAGAGCUGAUGAGAUUUGGAAACGAACUGCAUGCCGGAGUAUUUUAUAGAUAUGGCCUAGCAAGACGUCAAAGGUGGGAGCCUUUCCACUCUGCGCUCCUUGGAGAAAGCCAUUUGGAAGGUGACUCCAACCAUAGAGACAGCUGUGCUUUAGAGGCUGGUAAGUAGAGGCUGGAAGGAGAAGAUUUCCUGAUGGGUCCCAGGCUGCAAGGUCAAUUACAUGUGAACUUGCCCUUUAGUCCUAGGUUAGCUGGAGAGGCCUCCUGCCUCAGCUGGAAGGAGCUGCCUGUUGGGGUGGAGGGAGGGGCUGGGGGCUGUGGGAGAUGGAUCCUCUUUAGCUACUUUGGCCAAGGGCCCAGCUGUUCCUGUUCAGCCUCUGACGUUCAAGUGGGUUUGACCACCUGUGGAGUUAUUGCUAGUGUAUCAGUGCAUGCUAAGUGUCUCUCCUGAGUUCCUGAGGCUUCACUGCCUCCUGGGGCUGUCUUCCCAUUGCGGGAGGGAACUGCCAGGCAGGUGGCGCUUGUGCUUGGGGAAGGACUAAGCCCAUGAGUCAGUCUUACAGCUCUUCCUCUCUUACUUUCUGGCUCUAAGAGAUUUUGAUGUGGCUGUGGUUUCUGCCAUGGGCUGUGGGAUGUAGUGAAAGAAUUAUGGUCAAUAGGAGUCAGAAGUUAUGGGUCAGGUUCUGGUUCUGUCAUGUGGUUUCUGGGCUUUGUUUCCCUCAUAAAAAGGUUGUUUCUAAACAGGAGCAGAGUGUGUGUGUGCAUGAAGGAGCUGGGGAUGUUUGUAGCUUGCAAAAGUAAUCCAGGAGAAGACGUCAAACUUGCUGUUGAGGUUGUCACUGAAUAGCUUGAAAUUUCUCAGAAGACUAAAGGAAGGUGUGGGCUUUAUGUUUGUCAAAAUGGGAUGUAGGUGAAAAAGAUUGAAAAACAUAACAGGAAAAUCUCAUUUGCGGAUAUUAUGGGUUGAAUUGUGUCCCCUCAAAACAAGACACGGUGAAGUCCUAACCCCCAUUCCCUCAGAAUGUGACCUUAUUUGGAAAUAACGUCAUUGCAGAUGUAGUUGGUUAUUGUUAAGAUGAAGUCGUGCUGGAAUAGGGUGGGCCGCUAAUUCAUCGUGACUGGUGUCCUAAUAAGAAGACGGCCAAGUGAAGAGAGAGACACAGAGGGAACCUUGAGAAGGCGGAGGAUUGGAGAGGUGCAUCUGUAAGCCAAGGAAGGCCAAAGAUUGGCGGCAAACCACCAGAAGCUGGGAAGAGCCUUCUGUCACUGCUUCUGAAUUUGGAAGAGGUAAAUAGAGACUCUGGAUCGGUAAGAGUCAUCCUUUUCAAGGCGGCUAUGGCCACGUGGAGGAUCUAAUGGCUCAGCAGCCAGUGCUGGCGGUGUUAAGACGAGCGUGCAGGGAUGAUUAGGUGGUCCUGCUGGCUGCUGAAAAGACAUUUGGGCUUGACCUCCCACUCCCCCAUUUCUUGCUCAGACAUGUUUUCCAGGCUUCCCAUGAUUCUGUGAGCUACUAGCCCUUCUCUACUCGACUGGAGCCCAUUUCAACUCUUCGGAGCAUAGGGCCCUGACCAGUGCUUGACAACCUGUAAGUUUCCUUUGAGUUUUAAAGGAUGACCACUCUCUAUGCUUUUUAUCUUUAAUUACCAAUUACCAUUUAACCCAGAACCCACAGAGUGCCAAUUCUAAUCAGGGGGCCAUGCUCAGAGGAAGGCUACAGGUUGAUUCUCCCCAGGGUGGGAGGCUCACAGAAUGGGCAAAGGACCAGCUUUCUGACAUCAACAAGUAAGCCUUUGGGGCCACAGUCACGUGGGCUAAAGGGACUCCAGAGAUCAUCUCAUCCAAUCCCUUCCUUGCGUGUCAGGAAAAAUCAUGAAAGACUGAAAUGAGCAAAAGACAAUUACUGUGUCUUGUCUAGCGCGCCUUUUACAGCUCUGUAAAUUGUAGGAAACUGAUAAUGAAGCCGGGUACCUGAGGGUCACUGUAGCUAUUCAAUAAGAACAUGAGUGCCUUUUGACUUCUUCCCAACACAGACAUAAAUGAAUCUUGUCCAUUUGCUGUUUUCUUGUUUAAGUUGAGGGGCGACUCAGGGGUCGAAAAUUUGUGAGCUUGUUUUGCAGAAGAAUGAGAAGGCCUUUGGGGAGGUUGUGAUCACGGGAUGGCCAGCCCCCUGCAGCUGUUGACACCCAGAAGUCAGAUUGCUCAGGGGCUCACCAGGAGUGACCCCUUUGUUUCCCCAAAGCUCCUCCUGCCAAUCCGCUUAGCUCUAUAAAAACCCUCCUGCCUUCUUCUCUUAUUAAGGCAGAUUUGAGAGGUUCAGUACCAAUAAUAAUGCAAAUGAUUUUCUUGUCCCCAAAAAAGCAAAUUAAUUGUGUACAGUGGAAUGCAACUCAUUAUUGACCUCUUUUGGAUCUAUUUGUAAAUUCAUUUCAGCAUUCUUUUUCUGCCUAUAUAUAUAUAUAUAAAAUAUAUAUUGAACUAGUAACAUCAUAUUGGUU
RNAcentral lists this long non-coding RNA (3167 nucleotides) under Equus caballus (horse). Its description in RNAcentral is "lncRNA (ENSECAG00000054656.1)". Lineage: Eukaryota; Metazoa; Chordata; Mammalia; Perissodactyla; Equidae. The record is from RNAcentral.